Macaca mulatta (Rhesus monkey) is the source of this 370-nucleotide non-coding RNA. NCBI's taxonomy places the organism in Eukaryota, Metazoa, Chordata, Mammalia, Primates, Cercopithecidae. The record is from RefSeq and is a predicted model, not a curated record.
UUCACCUGGGGAGCCUAGUCAAGUGCAGGUCCUGAAGGUCUGGGAUGGCUCUCAUGCGAGUCCAGCCAGACCACACUGAGUUGUGAGACUCUAGACCAGUGCUGUCAAAGCCAAAUGCAAUGAGAGGGAGGCAGAGGAAGAUUUGACACAUACUGAAGAGGAGCAGGCAACACAACUGUAGAGGCAGAGGAUGCAGCCACAAGCCAAGGAAUGCUGCCAGCCACCAGAAGUCAGAAGAGGCAAGGAAGGAUUUGCUCCUGAGCCUCCAGAGAAAGUGCAGUCCUGCUGAUACCUUGAUUUUGGACCAAGGAAACAGAUUUUAGACUCUUGACCUCCAGAAUUCUGGGAGAAUAAAUUUCUGUUGUUUUGA